CCCUGCCAUCCACACUGCCCCAAACGCGCCCGAUCUCAUCUGACCUCAGAAGCUAAGCAGGGUCGGGCCUGGUCAGUCCAGUGU
This 84-nucleotide ribosomal RNA is filed under the name Otolemur garnettii (small-eared galago). Lineage: Eukaryota; Metazoa; Chordata; Mammalia; Primates; Galagidae. The record is from RNAcentral.